AGCAGCCGCGGUAAUUCCAGCUCCAAUAGCGUAUAUUAAAGUUGUUGCAGUUAAAAAGCUCGUAGUUGAAUUUCGGGAUCGACGGGUCGGUCGCGCCUCUGGUGUGUACUGGCCCUGUCGGUUUCUCCCUUCUGACGAACCACGAUGUCAUUAAUUUGGUGUCGUGGGGAAUCAGGACUGUUACUUUGAAAAAAUUAGAGUGUUUAAAGCAAGCAUUCGCUUGAAUACAUUAGCAUGGAAUAAUGAAAUAGGACGUUUGAUCUUAUUUUGUUGGUUUCUAAGAUCGACGUAAUGAUUAAUAGGGAUAGUUGGGGGCAUUAGUAUUCAAUUGUCAGAGGUGAAAUUCUUGGAUUUAUUGAAGACUAACUACUGCGAAAGCAUUUGCCAAGGAUGUUUUCAUUAAUCAAGAACGAAAGUUAGGGGAUCGAAGACGAUCAGAUACCGUCGUAG
This 450-nucleotide ribosomal RNA is filed under the name uncultured Glomus. Its description in RNAcentral is "SSU rRNA". It matches the Rfam family "Eukaryotic small subunit ribosomal RNA", at positions 569 to 1023 of the family's 1831-position model. RNAcentral also lists the same sequence under 1 other name. Lineage: Eukaryota; Fungi; Glomeromycota; Glomeromycetes; Glomerales; Glomeraceae. The record is from RNAcentral.